AUUGAACGCUGGCGGAAUGCUUUACACAUGCAAGUCGAACGGCAGCACGGGGGCAACCCUGGUGGCGAGUGGCGAACGGGUGAGUAAUACAUCGGAACGUGCCCGGUCGUGGGGGAUAACGUAGCGAAAGUGACGCUAAUACCGCAUACGAUCUGAGGAUGAAAGCGGGGGACCUUCGGGCCUCGGGCGAUUGGACCGUCCGAUGUCCGAUUAGGUAGUUGGUGGGGUAAAGGCCUACCAAGCCGACGAUCCGUAGCUGGUCUGAGAGGACGACCAGCCACACUGGGACUGAGACACGGUCCAGACUCCUACGGGAGGCAGCAGUGGGGAAUUUUGGACAAUGGGCGCAAGCCUGAUCCAGCCAUUCCGCGUGCAGGACGAAGGCCUUCGGGUUGUAAACUGCUUUUGUAUGGAACGAAAAGGCUCUGGCUAAUACCUGGGGCUCAUGACGGUACCGUAAGAAUAAGCACCGGCUAACUACGUG
This 484-nucleotide ribosomal RNA is filed under the name uncultured bacterium. Its description in RNAcentral is "partial 16S ribosomal RNA". It matches the Rfam family "Bacterial small subunit ribosomal RNA", at positions 30 to 507 of the family's 1533-position model. The record is from RNAcentral.